CUUAGAGAUUAUGGGAUUUACAGGCGAGAAGUGGUAGAGAGAGAACUCUUUCUCCCACAAGUCCAGGGUUUUCCCAUUGGUCUGCACUUUCUAGAGUUUCUUAGGCAUUGUGCUGAUCACCAUGGGACUGUGAAAGCUGGUUUCGUCACUUGGAAGCCAGGGAACAAGUUUGGAAAAGAACCUCUCACCAGGUCUCCACUAUUAAAGAUACUUAGCAUCAUGGAAACAUAGACCAAAGGAGUUUUCUUACUGUUUAUGCCAAGUGGAAGACCAAGGCCUAUUUUCACUCUAUCCCAGAAGAAAACUACAACUUCCUUCAGUUGAAAGACUGGACUGUUGGACUCAAGAGCUACAUUGCUUCAUUCCUUUUUCUCUGGGACAUUCAGAAAUGACAACAGAUGGAUUCAUAUUGGCUGCUUGGCCAAAGAAGCGAAGAGGAAUUUACUCUGAUUCAUUCCAUUUCUUGCACAAUCUCUCUCUGACUUACUAACCAAUUCAAUUAAGCAAACCUAUAUUAAGCACUUACUACUUGCUCCCCACUUGCAGGGUGCAGUAUUAAGGUAACUACAGACACAAAGAUGUGCAAUAAGAAGUUUCAGCCUACAAAGAGCUUGCUCCCUGGUUGAAGAGUCGGGCAUAUACCCAUAUAAAGUUAUCAUACGAAGGGUGAAGAGUGUGAAGAGUGUUUACUUUCUUCCUGCAAAGACCUCAUCUAAAGAUACACACUCCAUAUUGUGUAUUAGAAAGGAAUCAUUUUUGUACAAAUAACUAAAAGUCCACUUCAGUCUAACUAAGG
Molecule: long non-coding RNA, 796 nt
Filed under: Homo sapiens (human)
Lineage: Eukaryota; Metazoa; Chordata; Mammalia; Primates; Hominidae
Description: HSALNT0361882
Source: RNAcentral